Nerophis ophidion (straightnose pipefish) is the source of this 1726-nucleotide long non-coding RNA. RefSeq lists it as uncharacterized. Lineage: Eukaryota; Metazoa; Chordata; Actinopteri; Syngnathiformes; Syngnathidae. The record is from RefSeq and is a predicted model, not a curated record. The transcript has 4 exons.
GUUGGCCGUGCGAUGAGGUGGCAACUUGUCCAGGGUGUACCCCGCCUUCCGCCCGAUUGUAGCUGAGUAGGCGCCCGCGACCCCGAAAGGGAAUAAGCGGUAGAAAAUGGAUGGAUGGAUGGAAUUAAGCGGUAGAAAAUGGAUGGAUGGAUGGAAUUAAGCGGAGCUGGAGGCCACGCCCCCUCCAGCUCCAUGCGGACCUGAGUGAGGACAGCCUGUUUUCACGUCCGCUUUCCCCCCACAAUAUAAACAUCUUGCCUGCCUUGACGUUACAUCAUCUACGGAUUUGAAUAAAAAAACUGCACACACAAGGACACGAAGCAGAAGAACGAGGCCGUCUGUAUUAGAGUGAUUCUAUGUUGUUUAUAGCGUUAUGGGGUUGCUUUUUGAUUGGCCAACGAUUUACGUGGUGUUGCGCACCUGACGGCAAGUGACUCUCCGCCGGUACGCAAAUGGCAGAACAAAGGGUGCUCAAAUAGUGAAAGGUAAGUUUUUUUUUUUUUUUUUUUUUUUAGUAACCAGCAAGCACAGUACAGUUAGUAGAACUGUGUUUUUAUUACUGUGUAUUUGAUAGUUGAAUUUCAGACUAUUUCUUUUAUUUAUAUAUAUAUAAUAAAAUAAAUAUAUAUAGCUAGAAUUCACUGAAAGUGAAGUAUUUCAUUCAUAUAUAUAAAUAUAUGAAAUACUCGAGUUGGUGAAUUGUAGAUGUAAAUAUACUCCUCAAGGGUGGCAUGUAUGGUAAAGACUGAUGUGUUUGUGUGUCUGUGGAGAGUUCCAACCUCAGAAAGGCAGGUACGCGGACAUCCACGUCCUCACAGACGUCACUCGAGUGUAAACUCCCGGGAAGCCGACUCGCCCGCACCCGUGUCCCCGGCUGGUUACCCCGGCGACGAACCACUGGCCGGCGCCUUCACGACAGAUAUUAGCUCAUUUGGAAUUUGAUGCCUGCAACAUGUUUCAAAAAAGCUGGCACGAGUGGCAAAAAAGACUGAAAAAGUUGAGGAAUGCUCAUCAAAGACUUAUUAGGAACAGGUGACCCGCACACAUCAUGUGACCAGAGAGGGCGUGGCCAUAAGACUUGUGACAGUCGGCCUGGUCCACGAUGCCCACCGGAGCUUUCUGCAGCACGCUGCUCAUCAAACCUGCGGCAAGAAACACGUGUCCUGUGCAAUAGAAAGAAGACGGCGGCUAAGACGUGGAGGUUACCUCCUUCCCCGGUGGACCCCCAGCCCGAGAUGUAGCACUCCGCGUCCUGCAGGAAGUCGUGCGCAGGCGAGGGCAGGCAGGCGGGCUGCACGGCGGGGGACAAGGGGGCCGGGACCAGCAGCUCCAGCAGGGCCACGUCACGCUCCAGGCUGGUGUUGUGGAACCCCGGGUGGAUGACGACCCGCUGGAUGCGGACCAGCCAGGCCCCGACGCCGGAACGCAGCACGGAGCCCAGACUCACUGCCCAGUGGGCGGGGCUAGUGUCGCUGCAGGUGCGAUGAACACAGACACCUUUUGAAGCAGUGUGCGGCGGUCAGCAACCAUUUCCUGUGAAUCAGCGUGGCGCCACAUAUGUGCUGUCCCUGGUACUGCAGGCUACCCAUCCAAGGCCACUCCCCCCGGCGCGCCGUGACUCCGCCCACAAUCCGACCGGAGCCCAGCGCCGGACGUUGACCGCAGUCUGGAAUGGAAACGAACAACCUGAGAGGACACUUCGCCGACGAGGCAGCUUGUUACACAC